UACGGAGGGUGCGAGCGUUGUCCGGAAUCAUUGGGCGUAAAGGGCGCGUAGGUGGCCCCUCAAGCGUGCGGUGAAAGUCAGGGGCUCAACCCCUGAUCGGCCGUGCGAACUGGGGAGCUUGAGCACUGUAGAGGCAGGCGGAAUUCCGGGUGUAGCGGUGGAAUGCGUAGAUAUGCGGAGGAACACCGAUGGCGAAGGCAAUCCCCUGGGCCUGCACUGACGCUCAUGCACGAAAGCGUGGGGAGCAAACAGG
RNAcentral lists this ribosomal RNA (253 nucleotides) under uncultured bacterium. RNAcentral describes it as "partial 16S ribosomal RNA". It matches the Rfam family "Bacterial small subunit ribosomal RNA", at positions 524 to 776 of the family's 1533-position model. The record is from RNAcentral.